This is a long non-coding RNA of Rhopalosiphum padi (bird cherry-oat aphid), 1166 nucleotides long. RefSeq lists it as uncharacterized. NCBI's taxonomy places the organism in Eukaryota, Metazoa, Arthropoda, Insecta, Hemiptera, Aphididae. The record is from RefSeq and is a predicted model, not a curated record. The transcript has 2 exons.
GAAAAUAUCACAGUUCACUCUGUAUAUAGUGUAUACAUUCUACUGGUACUUUUAAAUAUCGAUAAAAGCGUGUAGAAUAUAUUAUGGUUAUAAAGAUUAUCGUUGAUUUUUUUUUUAUAUCGUUCAAUAUCAGGAUUUAAUUAAAGUGGCAUUCAUUGCAGGUACGAUAUUUUCAUUCUAUAUUGUUCAUCGGAAUGUCUGCCAUCGCCUAUUAGAACUAAAUCACGUUGCGUACACGUUUCUAUUAAUUUGUUUAUUAACAAUAUUAACCUAAUAACUGAUCAGUGCUCGCCCAGUCAUACUAAAAGGGUAUAACACCUCGUUUUACAUGAUCGAAAACCAAUAGCUGCAGUCUGUAAGACAAUUAAUUGUAAUCGAACCGUCGGAACUAUAUGCAUGUUAAAUCAAGUAUCGACUGCCAUAUAGACAACUUUGAUUUCACGGCUAUACUGAGUAUCCUAAUAAAACCUGUGCCGUUUGUAGAAUGGCGUGCACUGUGAAUCGUCACCGAAGAAACAUUAUAUUGUGUUAUUUCAUCGCCACUAUGUAUUAAGAUACGUAUUUUGUGAAAAUAAACCAAAUGGAACGAAAUAUUUAAGUGCGACCUACCAAUGUUUUUUUAGGUAAAGUGCGUAAAUAUGACCUACAAAGAGAUUUAAGACCAUUGACUACAUGAUUACAUGACUACAGCAGCCUAAAUAUCUUUUUGUCGGAAAUGAAUUAUAAAUGACAUACCUAUUCCAUGCAAAGCUGUUCCGACAAUGCCUUGAAGCGUUCCUUCAGCACCAGCAGGAGCUAACUUCGCUGCGUAUGAAGUCGCUGCCGAGUAAGCCAACGCGAACGUUAAACCAUUGAGCAAUUCGACUGGUAAUACCCAAACCGGAUUUUUAAUUAAUGAAUACAGGAAGAAUCUAAUUGCAAACCCAAAAUACAUCAAAGAAAACACUUUCAUGUUAUCCACUCGUUUGAGAAUAUAGCCUAAAAACGGUGGUAAUAUUAUAACAUGUAAUUAUGUAAAUGUAAGUGAAUUAUGCUGUAUUUACUGGACAAGAAGAAAAACGGAACUUCUCCACCGAAACAUUGAAUUGUCUGAGUCAACCCUUCGAGCGUCUUUAUGUACGAUAUCGUUUCGGGAUGGUACGUUUUUGAUAGAUCUUCUAGAUACC